This 563-nucleotide unclassified non-coding RNA is filed under the name Hevea brasiliensis (rubber tree). The record is from RNAcentral. Lineage: Eukaryota; Viridiplantae; Streptophyta; Magnoliopsida; Malpighiales; Euphorbiaceae.
UCAUUUCCAACUGCAACAUAUCUGUCCAAAGACAAAUUGUGUCAAGUUACACCAAUAAAUAAUGCAAAAGCACUAGUCAUACAAAAGAACUAUAUUGCAGAAUCCUGUAUAUGCUUAUUAGUCAAUCCAGCAUGAGUAAGAAUGCAGCAAGAGCUACAAGUGAACCUGUUCUCUUUUCUCUUAAACAUUUAGAAGUUGAAGUUUUCUCACCCUUCUAUUAAAAACAAGACAAAAUAUGUGCAGUUUAAAGUUGGGAUAUAUGCUUCUUGCCUAUGUACAGAUAAAUAAGUCAAGAUGCCAAAAUGUGUUCGUACACUUUCAAACAAUCCUGUACAGAAAGGCCCGUCAUUCUACUACUCAAUGAAGACUAUUAUUAGUCAUGAAUUCUAGAAAGAUAAUUGAAAAGUACGUAAAUUUUUAUAUUAUUUUAUGCAGGGUCAAAGCACAUAAAGAAAGAUGCCAAUUAAUGAUCUCUAUUGUGCUACAUUGAGCUAUUAAUAAGCAUUAUUAUUACUAGGUUCAAAAAACUAGCUAAAAAUAUGUACAUGGCUGAAAAUUUAAUG